RNAcentral lists this long non-coding RNA (9234 nucleotides) under Jatropha curcas. RNAcentral's name for it is "long non-coding RNA (JCUR_LNC003166)". Lineage: Eukaryota; Viridiplantae; Streptophyta; Magnoliopsida; Malpighiales; Euphorbiaceae. The record is from RNAcentral.
GGAUAGCAUCUUUAACAGAUUCAAUUAUGAAAACCCGUAAAUCCUCUGUUUUGCUCUGUUUUUAUAAGAUUACAUAAUGGAAUAGGCAAAGGAGUCAGAGUAUUGAUAGUACUGAGGAACUGCAUAAACAUAUUGAUUACUGCCCCUGUAAGGCCAUACUAAUUGCUGCACUUCUGCCUCCUCUUUCUUCUCUCCGCCAGCGCUCACGCUUAGAAUCUCUGAAUGCCCAACUUGCUUUCGUAGCAGACAAACAAGCUUUACAACAUCAAAUUCGUCUCCUACUACCUCUAUCUCACUCAUGUCUUGGCCUCCAAAUGCUGCGGAUUUUACGCCUGCAACUCCAACUGCAAUUUUCAUGGCUUUAGAACGAGACUUCUGGCUGCUCAUUGAACCCUUCAUCACUAUCUUUCGCUUCAUUAUCUUGGCCCGUAUGUACAUUGUAUUUUCGUUAUGGGAUUUUUGGUUAAUGGCGAAGCAAAGUAGAAGAGAAGAAGGUAUGGAAAUAAAUGUUUGUUUCUUUUCUUUGUGGGUUUCAAUUUGAAGUGAAAGUGCUCCUAUUUAUAGCUUUAUUAUAAUUAGUAUUUAAGAAUUUGUUUUAUAUUUUUUAAAAUACAUAUAGAGAAUGAACACGGAUAGACAUGUAACUUCCAAUUAUAAUAUUACCAUCCAGCUAAAAGGCCAAAACGACAAGGUGAUGACAUGUUGCCAUGUAACUGUUAUGGUGUGCCCACUUAAAUGGGAAAAAUAGGAGCGGCCAGUUCAACAACAAUGGCUUUGAAUUGCUACACAUGGGCGGUGAACGCAGUGUACGCAUUAGGCGGUUUUGAACGCGUUAGGCAGUAAAUGCGUUAAUUACGCGUCUCUUAUUCUCACACAACAGAUAAAAAAGAAAAACUGUAUCUAGGAAGGACUAAGAGGGAAAAAUAGUGAGGAAAUUAUUAUGGAGUGUUUUUGGAAAACACUUUAGUGCCACUAUUUUUGUAUUAUUCUCUUUGUAUACCUACUAUUUUUUAAUAGUGGAAGAAUGUUUUGAAAUUUUUCCCAUGAAUGUAUCCCAAAAGAGUUAAGGGUGAACCACGUUAAAUUUCUGUGUCACAAAUUUGAUUAUUCCGCUGCAUUAAUUUUCUCUUAGUUGGUUGUGAGAGCCCAACAAGUGGUAUCAUAGUUGAGGCCCAACAACUGGUAUCAGAGCUGAUGCCCAACAACUGGUAUCAGAGCCGAAUGUUUCGGCAGGUCUAGCCGGUUAGAUAGCGGUACCUGAUCCGUGGAUAUAUUUUGAAAAUAAAUAUACCACGACGAAGAGAAAAUUAUGACGAGUCCAUUGGUACUAUCCUCUCAGAAAGACGCUGCAGAAUCGACUUAGUGAUGAAUAGUAAAAUAGUAACUCAAAGUUGAUGGUGAACAGUACUAUUGGUUGCAGAGUCCGUUUCAAGUAAGCCCAGCACUAUUACACAUAGACUAUUCACGUGUACAGUCACUAUUUGAGUAUACUAUCACUAUUCAUGGUCACUAUUCAUGUAUACUACUGUUCACGUAUACGGUUUAUGUUGGUGAUGAUUUUCUGCGCAAGUCAAAAUGGACAANNNNNNNNNNNNNNNNNNNNNNNNNNNNNNNNNNNNNNNNNNNNNNNNNNNNNNNNNNNNNNNNNNNNNNNNNNNNNNNNNNNNNNNNNNNNNNNNNNNNNNNNNNNNNNNNNNNNNNNNNNNNNNNNNNNNNNNNNNNNNNNNNNNNNNNNCUCGGUUGGUAGAUUUGAUGAUGAAGGUUUCUGUAGCACCUUCAGAAAUGGUCAGUGGAAGCUCACAAAAGGUUCAUUUGUGGUAGCUAAAGACCGAAAGCUGUACGGGAUGCAUGCGGAACUCUUCUAAGACACUUUGAGUGUAGCAGAGAAUGACAGUACAUUUGAAUUGUGGCAUAAACGACUAUGCCACAUGAGAAAGACAAAUCUGGCAAGAAAGAACGUACUACCUAGAUUAGAUAAAGUUCACCUAGACAAGUGUCCUGAUCGCAUGGUGGGAAAGCAAAACAGAGUAGCUUUCGAGAUUAUCCCUCCUUCUAGAAUGAAGAAUGUAUUAAAUUUGAUUCAUUUAGAUUUGUGUAGACGAUUGAUAAUGUCAUAUUGUGGAAAUCGAUAUUUUGUGAUAUUUAUCGAUGACCAUCCUAGAAAGACUUAGGUAUACACAUUGAAGUCUUCUAAACUUGGUUGAGAGACAGACAGGCAAGAAGCUUCAGUGUAUCAGAACAGAUAAUGGUGGAGAAUACACUGGGCCAUUUAAUACUUUCUGCAAAGAGCAUGGCAUUCGACAUCAAACGACACCUCCCAAGACGCUACAACUGAACAGUUUGGCUGAGAGGAUGAACAGAACUUUGAUGGAGAGAGUCAGAUGUUUACUCUCACAUGCAAAAUUGUCUAAAAGAAUUUGGGGUGAAUCUUUACUCACAGCAGUUUAUCGUUCACCCUGUUUCCCUUUACAGUAUGAUACUCCAGAGAGAGUAUGGUCAGGAAAGGAUGCUUGCUAUGAUCAUUUGCGAGGGUUUGGUUGCAAAGCCUUCGUGCAUAUCUCGAAGAAUGAACGGUAUAAGCUUGAUGUCAAGACUAGACAGUGUGUAUUCAAUGGCUAUGACAAAGACCAAUUUGGCUAUAAGUUUUCUUACCCAAUCCAGAAGACGAUUAUAAGAAGUCGUGAAGCUGUAUUUGUUGAAGAUCAGACUAUUGAAGAUAUUAAAGCAGAGUGCCAAUAGAUCUGAUGAAGACUCAACAGACAUAUAGAGAUUCUCUCCAAUAGAACGUAAAUAAAUUGGAGAUGAAGAAAAUGUUCCACAAGAACAAGUGCCAGAGUUAGAAAAUCCAGAAGUUCCUAAUGAAAAUGAACCAGAUGAAGAUUAUGGUGUUCAUGUUCAGCCACUAGCACCGGAAGGUUCUCAAAAAUUAAGAAGAUCUAGUAGAGUCUGACAACCAUCAACUAGAUAUCCAGUCAAUGAGUAUGUACUGACGCCAGACAGGGGAGAACCUGAAAGCUUUGAAGAAGCUAUGGAAAAUGAACACAAGAGGAACUGGAUUGAAGCCAUGCAAGAUGAAAUGAAGUCCUUGCAUGAGGAUGAAACAUUUGAGCUGGUGAAGUUGCCCAAAGGCAAGAAAACUUUGAAGAACAAGUGGGUGUUCAAGAUCAUGUAGGAAGAACACAGCUACCAACCACGAUUCAAAGCUAGACUGGUUGUGAAAUGAUUAAAUCAGAGAAAGGGUAUUGAUUUUGAUUUUUUCACCAGUUGUGAAAAUGACAUCCAUUCGGACAAUGCUCGGAACGGCUGCCAGUCUUGAACUGGAAAUCGAGCACAUGGAUGUAAAGACUACCUUCCUAAAUGGAGAUUUGGAAGAAGAAAUAUAUUUGGAUCAGUCAGAGGGUUUCGAAGAAAUAGAUGAUUGUGUUUGCAAACUGAAGAAGAGCCUAUACGGCUUGAAGUAGGCACCGAGACAGUGGUACAAGAAGUUUGAGUCUAUUAUGGGGGAGCAAGGCUACAAAAAGACUACUUCAGAUCACUGCAUUUUUUAUGAAGAAAUUCUCUGAUGAUGACUACAUUGUUCUUUUGCUCAACAUGGAUGAUAUGUUGAUUGUUGGUCAGAAUUACUAGCUUGAAGAAAUAACUAUGUAAGUCUUUUGCUAUGAAAGACUUGGGAUCAGCAAAGCAAAUUCUUGGCAUGAAGAUCGAAGAGCCAAGAAAUCAUGGUUGUCACAAGAGAAGUACAUUAAGAGAGUACUUCAAAGGUUUAGAAUGAAAAACGCUAAAACAGUUAGUUGUCCUCUUACUAAUCACUUUAAAUUGAGUUCUAGAUAGUGCCCUUCUACGAAUGGAGAGAAGGAAGAAAUGGAAAAGAUUCCAUAUGCUUCAUCAGUUGGAAGCUUGAUGCAUGCCAUGGUUUGUACACGGCCAGAUAUUGCUCACUCAGUUGGAGUAGUAAGUCGGCUUCAUUCAAAUCCUGAAAAGGAACAUUGGACUGCAGUGAAAUGGAUUUUCAGGAUAUCCAAUCACAUCUGCAGGGGGAGUCAUGUCGUGGCAGUCAAGAUUACUGAAGCGUGCAAGGAGUUGCUGUGGAUGAAGAAAUUCUUGAAUGAACUCGAAAUUCAUCAAGAACGGUAUCAGAUAUUUUGUGAUAGUCGAAUCCUGUUGGUUAGCUACAGGGAUGAUGGAGAGUAUAGCUAAUGUUCCCACUUAAGUGUGCAGAGGGAGAAUUGUUAUGGUGUGCCCACUUAAGUGGGACCCACAUGUGUGAAAGUAAGAAAAAUAGGAGCAUUCAGUUCAACAAUGAUGGCUUUGAAUUGCUACACAUGGGUGGUGGACGUAGUGGACGCAUUAGGCGGUUUUGAACGUGUUAGGCAAUGAACGCGUUAAUUACGCGUCUCUCGUUCCCUAUAAAUAGAGGCAGCUGCAACGCACAAAACACACAGCAGACAAGAAAGAAAAAAUAUAUAGAGAGAGUUAUCUAGUUUUAGGAAGGGUUUCCUAAAAUUGGGAAGGAAAAAUAGUGAGGAAAUUAUUAUGGGGUGUUUUUGGAAAACACUUUAAGUGCCAUUAUUUUUGUAUUACUCUCUUUGUAUACCUACUAUUUUUUAAUAGCGGUAGAAUGAUUCGGAGUUUGUCUCGUGGACGUAUCCCUAAACAAUUAAGGGUGAACCACGUUAAAUUUCUGUGUCACAAUUUUGAUUAUUCCGCUGCAUUAAUUUUCUCUUAAUUGGUUGUGAGAGCCCAACAAGUGGUAUCAGAGCUGAAGUCCAACAACUGGUAUCAGAGCUGAUGCCCAACAGUAACUUCCAGGAACAUAUUCAAGCUCCAUCUAAUGGUUAGGGUGGGCACAGUCCUAUUGGGAAGGGCUCGGAGUAGAGAUGUGCAUUUUUGUUUGAAUCCCAGAACUGGAUUUGAAUUGAGUUCCUCUGACUCUAGUGAGGUAAAUGAGCCAAACUGCCCAUUUAAAUUUAAUAGACUAAGUUUCAGCUUUGGAAUUAAGGUCCGCGAAGCCUUAUUAUUAGCUGAUUCAUAAGCGUCACAUUCUGAAUAUUAGUUAUUUUAAUAGAUAUAGUUGUUUAAAUAGCCGUAAGUUUCUAAUAAGUAUGAGAUAAACAUUAAAGAGAUUAUUGUCACCUAACAGUCGAAAUAAUAGAAGUAAUAUUUUAAUCCUAGUUAAAAUGCUAAAUAUUACUUUACAAAUUAUUACCAAGCAGCUUCUAAAUAAGACUUUAAAGAAGUCUGUAUUCGAAUAUAAACUUAUAAAUGGGCUAUAAUAUUCGUUAACUAUAAAUUAUAAACAAGUAAAACACAAAUCAAAUUGAUUAGCAUAUUUGUAGCAUAACAUGAAAUCAUUUAUCUGAAAGUGUAUGAAUUAUUCUCCAACCAUAUUCUAUAUGAUUUAUUCUCUCACUCAUCUUAUUUAUUUAUUUUUUUGCUAAAUUUUUAGGGGAGUGAUUAUUAUAUAGUCUUUAGAUUUUUGUUAAAUACAAUAGGACUUCAAUUUUUAUUUUACUAUUUAGUCUCUACAUUAUAAUUCUGCUAUAUUAUAAAGUUCAACAAUUAGUUGUUCUGUUAAGUGAUGGUGACAUAUCAAAAACAUUAUUAAGGAUAAUUACUAUAUAAGGAUUAGAUAGUAUAAAAUUAUGAAAAUUGAAAUUUUACUAGUGCAUUUCACCAAACCAUAGGGAUUAUAUAGUAAUUACCUUUAGGAGCACUUUUAACAUUUAACAGUCAGAUAUCAAAAAAACUAAAUGUUAAAUUUUAUAGUAUAAUCGAAUUAUAAUGCAGGGACUAAAUAGUGUAAUAAUGAAAAUUGAGGUCCCUAUUAAUGUAUUUAGCAAAAUUUAAAAACUACAUAGUAAUUAUCUCAUUUGAAAAUUUUAAUAAAUAAAAAGAUUUAAACUUGAUAUCUUUGUAUAGGAAUAUAAAAUUAUUUUUUCAAUCUUAAACAUUUAUUUUGUUUGGUGAUGAUUUUAGCUUAUAAAAUUUGUAAUCACACGUAUGAGAUUGGAAUAAAAUCAAAUGGACUUCAACCCUAAUUUAAUUUUUGUUAAAUAGAUAUUUAAAAGAGUGACCUCAUUUUCAACAUCUAAAUGUGAACAUCUAAUAUAUAAUUAACACAUGGCAAACAUUGAAAGUUAAAAAACUUAAAAGUACUUUUUUUCCCUCCAUUAAUGCAUCGGAAUCACAAUCUUCCGAAUUGAAAGUACUAACAGGAUACACGCGGAAAGACCUUUCUGGAUUUCUGGAUUAGGUACAAAUAUGUAAUAACAAUUUAGUUGAGAUUAUUCAUGUUGACUCCAAGUCAACCCCACUAGGUCUCUUUAAUGGUUACCUGCAAGCCCAUUUUACUAUGUCUAAUCUCACUUGGGCUGUGUCAAGUCCAUAAGAGAGAAACGUCCCAUUGAAAAUUUUCUGCGUUCAUGAAUAUAAACACUCAUAUCCGUUUUUUUAAAAACCUAAGUCAUUUUCAUUCAGACUAAUUUUAUUAAUUUUAGUAGUAUUAAUUGACUUUUAUUUGGUAUGGAUUGACCUGGUCCGAGAAUAAUAAAAACUCAAAAGGUGAGCAGAGAGUACUUAAGGAUACAUGUAACUGUAAAUACUCAUCAGUUUAAAUCAGUAAGAAAAUAAUAGAGAAUUAAUGAAAUAAUCUAAGGAUUCACGGUGUUUAUCUAAAUUGAUGACUUGAAUCAAUAGAAUAAUCAAAUCAUUAUGUGAAUAGGAUUUUAAAAUAUCCAUGAACAAUCUAAUAAUCAUAUUGUUAAUUAAUUUUUUUUUUUAGGAUAAUCUAGAGGUGUAACUUUUUUGGACCGUAAAACGUAAAUGUUUUUAGACUUUUCAAUAAAAUUCGCUUCCUAAAAAUCGAAUUUUACUCUUCGGAAGAUUGAGAUCACUUAUCUACCGCCCCAAUCCACGUCUUGUUAAUUAUUAACUGAUAUUUUAGUUCAACAAUACUAAUAAUUAACAUUUGAUAAAUAGACACAUGGAUUAAAAAUUACAAACUAAAGAGCAUAUAGAAUUUUUAUAGAAAGAACAUAUAUAGAAGAAAAAACAUUUCCUAUGAUUCAUGAGAAGAUUUUAUGAGAUACACAUGACAUAUCUUCUCCUCAAAAUGACAUAACACAAAGUGAUCUUUGUAGGAUGUCAUCUCAAUUUCAUCAUCAAAGCAAUCAAGUCCCUUUAAAUUAAUUUAAGGCUAACUUUUCAACAAUCAAUAAGAUGUUUUCAUCAUCAGAAAGAUAGAGGGCCGAUAAUAAUAAUAGUUUGAACAUGGCCCAGUAAAACUCCAUAAAUCAUUUGUUAAAAGAAAUUUAGACCAAUGGAGAAAGAAAGCUAAAUAAGACCAAAGACUCGUUGCUUCAUUGCGCUUAACUUUUUUCCAUUAUAUUAUAAUUUCUUUCAUCAACCAAAAAGUAAUUUAAUAAUUGAGAUUUUUUUUAAUAAAAGUGAUAAGUGUUAUUUUUAUAGUAUUUUUAAUAUAGUUUUUAUUAGGACUUUUAGUAUUUUAUUAAUUACUUUAAUUAGUUUUUAUUUAGUUUUAUUUAUGUUUUUAUGUAAAGCUUCCUUGAAUCAUAUUUUAUUUGAUCUUGAGAAAUUUUGCAAGAUUUUUAUAGAAAAUCAGCUUAUUUUCUAUCUAGGCGCUGGAAGAGUCCUAAUUGAGAAAAAAUACAAAGCCUAACCAGUUUCUUAUCUCCAAAAGGAUUUUUUACUCAAUAAAGAUUCACUUUUCUAAACGAACACAAAGAUACUCCAUAAACUUUAUAUAAAUAGAGAGAUUAGCCAUAGACAAAGGGAGCCAUUCAUUGUAUAUUCCAUCUUUUUGUUCUAUUGUUUUCUCUCUCUCUCCAAGACUUGCAUUCAAGAUUUGUGUGAAGAUUCAAGGAAGCCGUCCACAUUAUUUGUUGACUAGUUUUUAUCUCUAAACUCUUAAUCUUAUUUUUACUUUUCAUCAUUCAUAUUGAUUAUAGAAUUAUUAUCAAGUUUAAUUGAGUUUUAUUUAAUUACUAUGUCGAACUAAACUUUCAUACUAGGGAUUUGAUGUAGUUUAAUUUCGAUUCCAAUUUAUAAUAUUAGAUUUGCUUUUCCUUGUUCAUGAUAUAAUUUAUUAUUGAACUUAAUGCUUCCAGACAGAGUUUCUUCCCUGGAUUGAUUUAUUUCAUUAAUCACUAUAGGGAGAAGGGUUUUUGAUAUCAAAAAUGUAAUAAAUUACAUAAGAAUAAUAACUUGAUGCGGAAGCUAUAUGGUUUGACUCAUGAAGAGUUUUCAUAAGUUAAUGACCUUAGGUUAUGAAUUCACAAAACAAACCAUAAAACUUAAUGAUUUAAUUCAUCUUUGAUUGCGUUAUUAGAAGAUAGGUAAUUAGACCAGGUUAAAAUACUAACAAUACAUCGGAAGAGAGCUUAUUAUUGAUUUUAGGGUUGUUUCCCCUACUUGAACAAUUAAAAUUGAUUAUCAAACUAAUAAAAUAAAUUAUAUAGAAUUAAAUGAAGUCAAAAUCCCUAGUAUGCCUUGCUUGAUUUCCUUUUGUUCUAUUUUAUUUGUUUAAUUUAAUUUCUUAAAAUAAUUUUCCUUAUUACCGUUUAAAUAAUAAUAGUUUAACAUGAUUUUAGUACUUGGUAUACAGUUCCUGUGGAUACGAUACUCUACUCAUUCUAUAUUACUUGUUGCGAUUUCGUACAUUUGCGAAAAUUACCGUAAAAAAGUUACCUCAUUCGAGAAUUUUCUUAGUAGCAACAAAAUAUGUAGUUGUUAACGUAUUAAUGACACACGUUCAGAGGCAUAAAGUAAGGAUUUAUGAAGAAUGGGAAGAUUGUUCUGAGUGUUCUAUGAAUUUUGAUUUUUCAUUUCUGGUUCAACAGAGUAACAACAGGAGAUUGUUUAUUUUCUGAGCUCAACGGGAAGAGGAAAGUUCACCUACAACAUUUAAAAGAGAAAACUUCAAACAAAAUGAUUACAACAUACAAAGGAUAGCAUCUUUAACAGAUUCAAUUAUGAAAACCCGUAAAUCCUUUGUUUUGCUCUGUUUUUAUAAGAUUACAUGAUGGAAUAGGCAAAGGAGUCAGGGUAUUGAUAGUACUGAGGAACUGCAUAAACAUAUUGAUUACUGCCCAUGUAAGGCCAUACUAAUUGCUGCACUUCUGCCUCCUCUUUCUUCUCUCCGACAGAGCUCACGCUUAGAAGCUCUGAAUACCCAACUUGCUUUCGUAGCAGAGUAGUAAGCUUUACAGAAUCAAC